This is a non-coding RNA of Vicia faba (fava bean), 357 nucleotides long. NCBI's taxonomy places the organism in Eukaryota, Viridiplantae, Streptophyta, Magnoliopsida, Fabales, Fabaceae. The record is from the annotation of a GenBank genome assembly.
AUGGAAGACUGCAAUGAGACUUCGACACCUGCUGAACCAAGACUGCAACUGUCGAAAGACUCAUAUGAAGAUGAUAUCGAUCCAACACAGUACAGAAGACAUAUUGGGUCAUUAAGAUACAUUUGUCACACAAGGUAUGAUAUAGCUUAUAAUGUAUGUAUGGUGAGUAGAUUCAUGCAGAAGUCAAAGGUAUCACAUCUAAUAGCGACAAGGAGGAUACUAAGGUAUCUCAAAGGAACUCUCAAUUAUGCCAUUUUGUUUCCUGCAAAUGAUAAAGGAAAAGAAAGCAAGCUAGUGGGUUACAUCGAAUCGAGUUGGUGUAGUGAUGUUGAGAAAAUAUACCAAAAAUUUCCCUAG